This 446-nucleotide ribosomal RNA is filed under the name uncultured bacterium. Its description in RNAcentral is "partial 16S ribosomal RNA". It matches the Rfam family "Bacterial small subunit ribosomal RNA", at positions 331 to 797 of the family's 1533-position model. The record is from RNAcentral.
CCAGACUCCUACGGGAGGCAGCAGUGGGGAAUAUUGCACAAUGGGGGAAACCCUGAUGCAGCAACGCCGCGUGAGUGAAGAAGUAUUUCGGUAUGUAAAGCUCUAUCAGCAGGGAAGAAGAUGACGGUACCUGACCAAGAGGCCCCGGCUAACUACGUGCCAGCAGCCGCGGUAAUACGUAGGGGGCGAGCGUUAUCCGGAUUCACUGGGUGUAAAGGGAGCGUAGACGGCCAUGCAAGCCAGGGGUGAAAGCCCGGGGCCCAACCCCGGGACUGCCCUUGGAACUGUGCGGCUAGAGUGCGGGAGGGGCAGGCGGAAUUCCUGGUGUAGCGGUGAAAUGCGUAGAUAUCAGGAGGAACACCGGCGGCGAAGGCGGCCUGCUGGACUGCGACUGACGUUGAGGCUCGAAAGCGUGGGGAGCGAACAGGAUUAGAUACCCGCGUACA